AUGAGUGAGUGUAACAUCUCUGUCGAUAGGAUGUCAUCACCUUCCCUGAAGCAUUUGAGCAUCACUGGUUGCCUCUCCGAUUUGCGUGCCCGGCUCCGCAUUUCUACUCCGGGCCUUGUCUCUUUGAAGCUCGAUGACUUUUUCGGUAAAACCCCUUUCCUUGAAAACAUGGAGUUGCUACAGAUCGCAUGUGUGAAUCUUGGCAAAAGCUUCAGCGAUGUCUGUAUGAAUUAUAACUCCGGUGUCUUCUGUGGAGAUAAUAAGAAUGGAUGUGUCAAUUGUCUUUCACAUAACGAUGGCAGCAGCGGUUGCGUGCUUCUGGGUGGGAUCUCAAGUGCUAAACAUCUUGAAUUGAUAUCUGAAUCGAGCAAGUUCAUUUUCACAAGAGAUUUGAAAUGCUGCCCUACAUUUAGUAAGUUAAAGACUUUAUUACUCAAUGAGUACUGGUGCGAGGCUCCGGACUUGGAUCCACUAGCUUGCAUUCUGAAAAAUUCACCAGUUCUAGAGAAGCUCACUCUUCAACUUUUUUCAAAGGGACCAACUCAUAAAGUGGAAAUGAAAGGAAGCUACAGUCCAAUGGAGGGACCAUCUGCAAUAUCAGAGCACCUUAACAUAGUUGAAGUCAAGUGUAAUGUGGUCGACGAGAAGAUUCUCAAAGUCUUGAAGUUCUUAUCUGCAUUUAACAUACGAUUCGUUUUUUUGUAA
This 705-nucleotide ribosomal RNA is filed under the name Triticum aestivum (bread wheat). RNAcentral's name for it is "partial small subunit ribosomal RNA". Lineage: Eukaryota; Viridiplantae; Streptophyta; Magnoliopsida; Poales; Poaceae. The record is from RNAcentral.